AAAUCUCUGAAAAAUGCCUAUUUACUGGAAAGCCAUACCGCAACUGAUUGUGGCUCUGCCAGUAAUCGACUACAUGUUUUCGGUGGUGGUCAAAAUGGAGAUCGCAGAGCAGAAGCGUCUCCGCGAGAUGGAGACUGCCAGCCCACAAAAACCCGACGUAAAAGAGUGUUAAAAAAGCGAAGAGACGGACGAGUGUUACCCCAAAACCACAGCCAAACGAAGACAAGAAACAGUGGAGAUCCCUGGACACAUUGCACCCUCUUUUCAGGAGAGGCCGCCGCCCUGAAGGGCACAGCAGAAGGGGCUCAAGCGGUCCCGCCUUUGGCUGGGGGUUUGGGGUAAAAUUUGUGUCUUGUGUCAAAUUCUCGAAUGUCUUACCACCAACUAAAGCUGUCAGUCUA
Molecule: long non-coding RNA, 401 nt
Organism: Drosophila persimilis
Lineage: Eukaryota; Metazoa; Arthropoda; Insecta; Diptera; Drosophilidae
Exons: 2
Source: RefSeq, a predicted model, not a curated record